Molecule: non-coding RNA, 23 nt
Filed under: Mus musculus (house mouse)
Lineage: Eukaryota; Metazoa; Chordata; Mammalia; Rodentia; Muridae
Source: RNAcentral
UAAUAAUGGAUGUGGUUGCUGGG